RNAcentral lists this ribosomal RNA (301 nucleotides) under uncultured bacterium. RNAcentral describes it as "partial 16S ribosomal RNA". It matches the Rfam family "Bacterial small subunit ribosomal RNA", at positions 509 to 807 of the family's 1533-position model. The record is from RNAcentral.
CAGCCGCCGCGGUAAUACGAAGGGGGCUAGCGUUGUUCGGAUUUACUGGGCGUAAAGCGUGCGUAGGCGGUUUGUUAAGUCUGUUGUGAAAGCCCUGGGCUCAACCUGGAAAUUGCAGUGGAUACUGGGUCACUAGAGUGUGGUAGAGGAUAGUGGAAUUUCCGGUGUAGCAGUGAAAUGCGUAGAGAUCGGAAGGAACAUCUGUGGCGAAGGCGACUAUCUGGGCCAACACUGACACUGAGGCACGAAAGCGUGGGGAGCAAACAGGAUUAGAGACCCGAGUAGUCCCUGUCUCUUAUAC